Molecule: ribosomal RNA, 1446 nt
Filed under: uncultured organism
Description: SSU rRNA
Rfam family: Bacterial small subunit ribosomal RNA
Source: RNAcentral
ACACAUGCAAGUCGAACGGUAACAGAAAGCUUCUUGCUGCUUUGCUGACGAGUGGCGGACGGGUGAGUAAUGUCUGGGAAACUGCCCGAUGGAGGGGGAUAACUACUGGAAACGGUAGCUAAUACCGCAUAACGUCGCAAGACCAAAGAGGGGGACCUUCGGGCCUCUUGCCAUCGGAUGUGCCCAGAUGGGAUUAGCUAGUAGGUGGGGUAAAGGCUCACCUAGGCGACGAUCCCUAGCUGGUCUGAGAGGAUGACCAGCCACACUGGAACUGAGACACGGUCCAGACUCCUACGGGAGGCAGCAGUGGGGAAUAUUGCACAAUGGGCGCAAGCCUGAUGCAGCCAUGCCGCGUGUAUGAAGAAGGCCUUCGGGUUGUAAAGUACUUUCAGCGGGGAGGAAGGGAGUAAAGUUAAUACCUUUGCUCAUUGACGUUACCCGCAGAAGAAGCACCGGCUAACUCCGUGCCAGCAGCCGCGGUAAUACGGAGGGUGCAAGCGUUAAUCGGAAUUACUGGGCGUAAAGCGCACGCAGGCGGUUUGUUAAGUCAGAUGUGAAAUCCCCGGGCUCAACCUGGGAACUGCAUCUGAUACUGGCAAGCUUGAGUCUCGUAGAGGGGGGUAGAAUUCCAGGUGUAGCGGUGAAAUGCGUAGAGAUCUGGAGGAAUACCGGUGGCGAAGGCGGCCCCCUGGACGAAGACUGACGCUCAGGUGUGAAAGCGUGGGGAGCAAACAGGAUUAGGUACCCUGGUAGUCCACGCCGUAAACGAUGCCGACUUGGAGGUUGUGCCCUUGAGGCGUGGCUUCCGGAGCUAACGCGUUAAGUCGACCGCCUGGGGAGUACGGCCGCAAGGUUAAAACUCAAAUGAAUUGACGGGGGCCCGCACAAGCGGUGGAGCAUGUGGUUUAAUUCGAUGCAACGCGAAGAACCUUACCUGGUCUUGACAUCCACGGAAGUUUUCAGAGAUGAGAAUGUGCCUUCGGGAACCGUGAGACAGGUGCUGCAUGGCUGUCGUCAGCUCGUGUUGUGAAAUGUUGGGUUAAGUCCCGCAACGAGCGCAACCCUUAUCCUUUGUUGCCAGCGGUCCGGCCGGGAACUCAAAGGAGACUGCCAGUGAUAAACUGGAGGAAGGUGGGGAUGACGUCAAGUCAUCAUGGCCCUUACGACCAGGGCUACACACGUGCUACAAUGGCGCAUACAAAGAGAAGCGACCUCGCGAGAGCAAGCGGACCUCAUAAAGUGCGUCGUAGUCCGGAUUGGAGUCUGCAACUCGACUCCAUGAAGUCGGAAUCGCUAGUAAUCGUGGAUCAGAAUGCCACGGUGAAUACGUUCCCGGGCCUUGUACACACCGCCCGUCACACCAUGGGAGUGGGUUGCAAAAGAAGUAGGUAGCUUAACCUUCGGGAGGGCGCUUACCACUUUGUGAUUCAUGACUGGGGUGAAGUC